Long non-coding RNA from Pantherophis guttatus, 1287 nucleotides. RefSeq lists it as uncharacterized. The record is from RefSeq and is a predicted model, not a curated record. NCBI's taxonomy places the organism in Eukaryota, Metazoa, Chordata, Lepidosauria, Squamata, Colubridae.
ACAAAAGCAAAUCAGAAGAUGUUGGUUGUGAUGGGUGAGUUCCUUCUGCUUUUGCCUUAGCAGAAAACCUUCUGCAUCUCUUCUGAGAGAGAGAUUGCUUUUCCCAGACGCUCCAACCUUGAGAGCUGUAGAGAGCUUAACCAUGAAGGCCGCUUUGCUCCUUGGUGUCAUUCUCUUGAUGAGCCUGGUUAUGGCUAAUGAUCAAAGUAAAUCUGAAGAAAAGACUGAAUCUGGAGCUAAAGUUGAAUCGCAAAACAGGACAGGUAUUCUUACUAAGUCUACUGGCAUAAUGGUGUCUGAGAGCCCAGUCUUCUUUUUGUUGCCACUGAUGUGGAUGGUGAUCCAUCUUCUUCAUAUUUAAUGAACCUGAAGCUUCACUUUUCAGGAGAACAUGAAGGUCCAUCAGUCCUACCCAAGUUUAAGAAAGGGAGCUCCUUUCCAUUCCUAACAGCUUAAUAGUCCAGCCGGCUUCCUGCUCUUGCUGCAAUAUUAGUCCAACAUGUUGGACUAUCCAUGAUUUCACUGCAUCGGCCAACUAAACAGGGAAAUGAAAAGAAAGCCAGGGAAAUAUCUGAUGUCAAUCCUCAAGUGCAUGCAUUUGUUUGCAAUAUGACUGUCACUGUUCAGAGGAAAUCUGGCAUAAGAGGAGUUAUGAAAUAUCUCAGACGCCUCUUCUGCUCCUGAGAGAGAUAAUCCAGAUCAUACUUUCCUUACAAUAUCCUUUUGCAGAGCUGUCUAAAGAUGGACAUUAGCCACAGAUGCCUGUAAUCAUGUCUCAUCCAUUAUGGUGUCCAUCCUACUGAUGCUCUUUUAUAUUUGGUCUCCCAAGCAACGAUGAUGUCACCUCUGGAGAAACGAUUAUAUCUUUUCCCAUGAAUCUGCCUUGUGAGAAUCCUUCUCUUGUCUCAAAGAAAGAAGUAACUCCUCUACCCAGAAGGCUUCAUCUUGAUGAGCUUCAUCACUUCAAGAUAAGAAUACCAGUUGUUGUACAGUAAAGCAACAUUUAGCGUGGUGGUUCCACCAGAUUAUCCUUUUUUAACAGGACAGGAGAGGACAAUUGUUCAUCAGACUGGAAGUAACGAAACAUACAGAAUGUCUUUGAUUGUAACUGCAUCUGCCUAUGUGUGAAAUGUAAUUAGGUUUUUUUGCAUUUGCCCAUUUACAGAAAACAGCCCAAAGUUAAAAUAAUAACACAAGAUACAAGUUUGUUUUAUAAAUUGGUUGCUGUUACCUUCUGUAAUAUACGUGCAGGUUGAUUUCAAUAAAAGCUUUUUGGCUAGCUGGCAA